AGUGAACGCUGGCGGUAGGCCUAACACAUGCAAGUCGAACGGCAGCACAGUAAGAGCUUGCUCUUACGGGUGGCGAGUGGCGGACGGGUGAGGAAUACAUCGGAAUCUACUUUUUCGUGGGGGAUAACGUAGGGAAACUUACGCUAAUACCGCAUACGACCUACGGGUGGAAGCAGGGGAUCUUCGGACCUUGCGCGAUUGAAUGAGCCGAUGUCGGAUUAGCUAGUUGGCGGGGUAAAGGCCCACCAAGGCGACGAUCCGUAGCUGGUCUGAGAGGAUGAUCAGCCACACUGGAACUGAGACACGGUCCAGACUCCUACGGGAGGCAGCAGUGGGGAAUAUUGGAAAAUGGGCGCAAGCCUGAUCCAGCCAUACCGCGUGGGUGAAGAAGGCCUUCGGGUUGUAAAGCCCUUUUGUUGGGAAAGAAAAGCAGCAGGUUAAUACCCCGCUGUUCUGACGGUACCCAAAGAAUAAGCACCGGCUAACUUCGUG
This 492-nucleotide ribosomal RNA is filed under the name uncultured bacterium. RNAcentral describes it as "partial 16S ribosomal RNA". It matches the Rfam family "Bacterial small subunit ribosomal RNA", at positions 29 to 507 of the family's 1533-position model. The record is from RNAcentral.